AUUGAACGCUGGCGGCAUGCCUUACACAUGCAAGUCGAACGGCAGCGGGGGAGAAGCUUGCUUUUCCUGCCGGCGAGUGGCGAACGGGUGAGUAAUACAUCGGAACGUGCCCUGUAGUGGGGGAUAACUAGUCGAAAGAUUAGCUAAUACCGCAUACGACCUGAGGGUGAAAGUGGGGGACCGCAAGGCCUCAUGCUAUAGGAGCGGCCGAUGUCUGAUUAGCUAGUUGGUGGGGUAAAGGCCUACCAAGGCGACGAUCAGUAGCUGGUCUGAGAGGACGAUCAGCCACACUGGGACUGAGACACGGCCCAGACUCCUACGGGAGGCAGCAGUGGGGAAUUUUGGACAAUGGGCGAAAGCCUGAUCCAGCAAUGCCGCGUGUGUGAAGAAGGCCUUCGGGUUGUAAAGCACUUUUGUCCGGAAAGAAAUGGCUCUGGUUAAUACCUGGGGUCGAUGACGGUACCGGAAGAAUAAGGACCGGCUAACUACGUGCCAGCCGCCGCGGUAA
Molecule: ribosomal RNA, 508 nt
Filed under: uncultured bacterium
Lineage: Bacteria
Description: partial 16S ribosomal RNA
Rfam family: Bacterial small subunit ribosomal RNA
Source: RNAcentral